Molecule: RNA transcript, 3412 nt
Organism: Scophthalmus maximus (turbot)
Lineage: Eukaryota; Metazoa; Chordata; Actinopteri; Pleuronectiformes; Scophthalmidae
Gene: aspg
Gene name: asparaginase homolog (S. cerevisiae)
Exons: 18
Source: RefSeq, a predicted model, not a curated record
AGCCACGUGCGCUUAGGACGCUGAACUCUCCAGACGGUCAAAGCCACGGUUCCGCCCCCCGCCCCGGCCGGGACACAUAAUAACGAAUGAAGCGCACCGUGGUCCGGGCCACUGACAGCAGCUGAGAGCCGACGUGUUGUGACAUUGAGGGGUCAGCCCCCGGGUAUCGGUCUGCUCCGUCGGGCAUCAUGGCGGACUCCAGCUUCGACAACCUGACGUCCCUCGCCCGAGCUUUGUCUCACCCGAAGCUGGAGCUGAGCGAGCCGAGCGACGUGUCCCCGACGCGGGGCGCUCAGCUGCAGCCGUGCAGGAGGAGGAAGUUGUCGAGCUGCACGUCGCUCGAGUCCGUGGAGCCGCUGACUUCACCCACCGCCGAGGCGCGGGUGCUGGUCAUCAACACCGGGGGAACCAUCGGCAUGACGAUUCACGACAACGUGCUCGCACCAACAGCCAAUGCGUUGGUGAAGAGCCUGCGCAAGCUGCCCAUUCUCCACGAUGCGAUGUACGCCCAGCAGACCGGCCUGUAUGACUACUACUCGUAUGAGAACACCCUGGUCCUGCCGAAGUCGACGUCCCACGCUGGCCAGCCGUUUAAUGGAUUGAGUAAAGACAAAAAGAGGAUUGUCUACUCUAUCUUAGAGUACAGCCCUUUGCUGGACUCCUCCAAUAUGACCACAGAUGACUGGGGUAGGAUUGGAAAGGACAUUGAGAAAAACUAUGAAAACUAUGACGGGUUUGUGAUCCUUCAUGGCACAGACACGAUGGCUUACACAGCCUCUGCCCUGUCCUUCAUGUGUGAACAUCUGGGCAAACCAAUCGUUCUCACUGGCUCCCAGGUGCCAAUCUUUGAGAUGAGGAAUGACGGCAGAGGCAACCUGCUGGGGGCGCUGCUGAUCGCUGGACAGUUUGUCAUCCCCGAGGUGUGCCUUUACUUCUACAACAAACUCCACCGAGGGAACCGCGUGACCAAGGUGGAUGCCGGGAGUUUCAAUGCAUUCUCCUCUCCCAACUUGGCUCCACUGGCCACGGCUGAAGUGGACAUUAAAAUCAACUGGGAUACGGUUUGGAGGCCAAACACAACAGCAAAGUUCCAAGUCAGCACUGAGCUGAACCGGAACGUGGGCCUGCUCAGGUUAUUCCCAGGAAUAACCUCCGCUACUGUUAAGGCUUUCCUGCAGCCGCCCAUGAUGGGCGUAGUGCUCGAGACCUACGGCAGUGGAAAUGCCCCCGAUAACCGUCCUGACCUGCUGCAGGAGCUGAAGAAGGCGACUGACUCCGGCGUCAUCAUCAUCAACUGCACCCAGUGUCUGAGGGGCACUGUGUCGACGUCGUACGCCACCGGCAUGGUGUUGAUGGACGCAGGGCUGAUCGCUGGUGGUGACAUGACUCCAGAGGCUGCCCUGUCGAAGCUGUCCUACGUGUUGGCCAAGGACAAGCUUGAUCUAGAUGCCAAGAAAAAGUUGAUGGGUCGGAACCUGCGAGGUGAAAUGAGCGUCGACUUAGCGGGAGCCAAGCUGUGUCUCAGCGACAGCCGCUUCAUCCAAGUCAUCGCCAAGUCUCUGAGCGUCAGCUGCAAGGAGGAGCUGGAAGCCAUUCGUGAUGCUCUGACUCCUCCACUGGCUUGUGCUGCUGCUAAGAUCGGAGACAUAGAAGCUUUACAAGCACUAAAAGAAAUGGGCACUAACCUGUGUCUAGGUGACUACGAUGGACGUACACCCCUACACAUCGCCGCCUGCGAGGGCCACCUUAAGCUGGUGGAGUACCUACUGGGUCAUGGAGCUACAGUCUAUGCUAAAGAUCGCUACGGGGACACGCCCCUGUGCAACGCUGUACGCUUCAGGCACAAAGAAGUGGUGAAGCUGCUGCGACAGACUGGAGCCCACUUCUCCAGAGAAAAGUUGGAGGAAGCAGGGACCGAACUGUGCAGGAAUGCUCCCAGGCAGCAUAGCUUUGGAUCUGCUCUGCAUCUCCGGUGUCGGCAAGUAGUUAUUUAUCUACCCGAGACACUAGCCUGGCAGCCACCAGGGACCUGGAGGGCCUGGAGAUCUGGAGCCUUGCCGGGGCCGACCUGAGAAAACAAGGCUAUGACGGACAGACAGCGAUUCAAGUGGCCCAGGCUGUUGGCAACAAGGAAGUGGUGGCGUUUUUAGUCCAGCUCAUGAGCAAUAAAUCCAAGAGCGGUGGAGUGAUCGAGUUCACCGCCACACCAUCAGGACCGUGACGAUGCCGACAGGAACCGUCCUCCGUUUGUGUCCACUUCCUACCGAGCCGUCCCCUACACACACACACACACACACACACACACACACACACACACACACACACACACACACACACACACACACACACACACACACACACACACACACACACACACACACACACACACUCACACCGUCCACUGUCCAGCUGAAAGUCACAGAGUUAAACUCACUAUUGAAUGUCUUCUUAUUUUGACACGUCAUUGAAAGCCAGCACUGCUCUGAAUUUUCCCUGUUAAAAACACACCAACAUGUGCAAAAUGUCCAGGAAAGAGCAACAAUAAGUGUGUGUUUGUGUGUGUACUGUAUGUACAUACAUAGGAAAUGUAUUAUCAUGUUUUAAUCAGAUGCUGACAUCACUGUGUCUGAACAAAAGCCUUGGUUAUUGUGAAGUCCAGUCAGGGAAUUAUUAGCCUCACCUUGGGAGCCUGCCGAAACUUCCCAUUACACCUCGAACAGUGAAUGAUGACAAUGAAGAUUAUUUUUUUCCUGCAAAACAUUUGACUUUGAAUCGAGUACAUAAAGAAAUGUACUCGAUCAUAAGCAAUAUAUUCAUGACACGUGGAAGCACAGGGUACAUUCACAGAUUGUAUUUUUCUGUUUAUUUAUUUAUAGUGAGACGCUGUAAAGUAUCAUGUAAACUGAGGAAAAGGAGCUUUGUCCUUCUUGUCAUCGGGAAUGUGAACGAACUGUGGCACUUGUCCUCUGCCCCUGAAACUGCGAUUUUCACUUCCUACUGCUCAAACAGGUAUAACAAAAACCUGCAGUUCCCUUUACAGACUCAUCCAGCCUGUUUCACGUGGCGGAUUGUCGAGCUGGAAGAGUCACAUCUCAAAUGUUAAGUCUUUGAGAAAGGAAUAAAAAUGGAAACCUGCCACAGUUUUGUCUUCCAUAUUCGUGUGUUCACAAACAAAUGACAUGAGCUUUCCUUCCUUGUUAAAUUGUGUUAUAUAGUGCUACUCUACAAUUUGAUAGACUCUCUUUAAACCAAUCCAGGUUACCUUUGAUGUGACUUCCUUACAUGUGCAAAUACAUGUUAAUUACUUGAAAUGUGUCCUGUUGGUUUCAGUGCUCAUAAACAACAUGUGGGAGAACUGUGUGAUUCGGUUGUUUUGUGGAAAAUGCGACAGAAAUAAAACUCUUGUGUCAGA